This 440-nucleotide ribosomal RNA is filed under the name uncultured bacterium. RNAcentral describes it as "bacterial SSU rRNA". It matches the Rfam family "Bacterial small subunit ribosomal RNA", at positions 958 to 1400 of the family's 1533-position model. The record is from RNAcentral.
AACGCGAAGAACCUUACCAGGGCUUGACAUACGCGGAAAUCUCACAGAGAUGUGAGGUCCUUAGGGGCCGUGUACAGGUGGUGCAUGGCUGUCGUCAGCUCGUGUCGUGAGAUGUUGGGUUAAGUCCCGCAACGAGCGCAACCCUCGUUCUAUGUUGCCAGCACGUAAUGGUGGGGACUCAUAGGAGACUGCCGGGGUCAACUCGGAGGAAGGUGGGGAUGACGUCAAGUCAUCAUGCCCCUUAUGUCCUGGGCUGCACACAUGCUACAAUGGCCGGUACAAUGGGCUGCUAAGCCGUGAGGUGGAGCGAAUCCCAAAAAGCCGGUCUCAGUUCGGAUUGGGGUCUGCAACUCGACCCCAUGAAGUCGGAGUCGCUAGUAAUCGCAGAUCAGCAACGCUGCGGUGAAUACGUUCCCGGGCCUUGUACACACCGGUACUAC